UUACGAAAACUUGUCAAUGCACGAAAGUGUGAACGGGCUACCCCGAGUGCCGUCCGCUGAGGAUGGCUUUUCUCUGCUGUAAGAAGGCGGAGGAGUAAGGCGAGGGCAAGUCUGGUGUCAGCCGCCGCGGUAAUACCAGCUCACCGAGUGGUAGGGAUGAUUAUUGGGCUUAAAGCGUCCGUAGCCGGCCUAUCAAGUCUCUUGUUAAAUCCAACGAUUCAAUCGCUGGACUGCAGGAGAUACUGCUAGGCUAGGGGGCGGGAGAAGCCGACGGUAUUCUCGGGGUAGGGGUAAAAUCCUAUAAUCCCGGGAAGACCACCAGUGGCGUAGGCGGUCGGCUAGCACGCGCUCGACGGUGAGGGACGAAAGCUGGGGGAGCGAACCGGAUUAGAUACCCGGGUAGUCCCAGCUGUAAACGAUGCUGGCUAGGUGUUGAAGCGGCUACGAGCCGCUUCAGUGCCGCAGGGAAGCCAUUAAGCCAGCCGCCUGGGGAGUACGGCCGCAAGGCUG
RNAcentral lists this ribosomal RNA (510 nucleotides) under uncultured bacterium. RNAcentral describes it as "bacterial SSU rRNA". It matches the Rfam family "Archaeal small subunit ribosomal RNA", at positions 339 to 851 of the family's 1478-position model. The record is from RNAcentral.